ACCACCACCACCAACAACAACCGUAUCGGUCCUUCCUUCCUCUACCUCUGAACGAGAACGCGAACGCGCCGCCCUGUGAUUACUACGACCCCAGCAUGUGCUCAGGACCUCGCAAGCCGUCCACUCCUCCUCUGCCAACGGCGACGGCCAAGGACUCCUCGGCGAUGACGGCGGCGGCGGCGGUCCUUCUGGAGCUGGCGGCGGCGGACGACGUGGUUGCCUUCAGGCGCGCCGCGGAGGACGACAAAGCCCCGGCCUUGGACGCCGUGGCCCACUGGUACGGCCCGUCCGCGGGCGCCGGCCGCCUCCGCCUCGAGGCGCGCACGCCGGCCAUGGUCGCCGCGCUCUACGGCAGCGCUUCGGUGCUGGCGUACGUGCUGUCGUCCGCGCCGGCGGAGGCCGCGCGCGCGUCGCCCACGGACGGAGCCACGCCGCUCCACCUCGCGGCGGCCGGUGGCGCCGCGGGCGCCGUCGCGGCCACGCACCUCCUCCUCGCCGCGGGCGCGUCCGCGGACGCGCUCGCCUUCUCGGGACUCCGCGCUGGGGACCUCCUCCCGCGCGCCAACGCUGCCGCUGACAGGGACCGGGCGCUCCGCGUGCUCCUCAAGUCCCCCGCCGCGUCGCCGUCGUCCUCGCCCAAGAAGUCCGCCUCGCCUCCGCCGCCUUUGGCCGCGGCGGCGGCGGCGGCGGCGGCGGCGCUGCCGGCGGAGCCGAGGAAGGAGUACCCGC
RNAcentral lists this long non-coding RNA (729 nucleotides) under Sorghum bicolor (sorghum). Its description in RNAcentral is "long non-coding RNA (SBIC_LNC015318)". Lineage: Eukaryota; Viridiplantae; Streptophyta; Magnoliopsida; Poales; Poaceae. The record is from RNAcentral.